Salarias fasciatus (jewelled blenny) is the source of this 1778-nucleotide long non-coding RNA. RefSeq lists it as uncharacterized. The transcript has 8 exons. The record is from RefSeq and is a predicted model, not a curated record. NCBI's taxonomy places the organism in Eukaryota, Metazoa, Chordata, Actinopteri, Blenniiformes, Blenniidae.
AGACUGCAGUACCCGUUGUCAUGUCACCACAGAAAGAAGGAUGCGACUGUAAAUUCUGAAGCAGUGGAUGUGAUUGGAGGCGAGCAGAAAGAUGAGGCUGCUUCAUGUCCAGACCGGAGCAGGACUGCCACAGCAACCCCACAGUCCAAACAUGUUGCUCCCACAAUCAGUGCAGAUGAGGAAACUCUUAAAGCAGGCUCAGGCUGAGCUUGCAGUCCCUGGAAGUCCAGAGAAGAGCUCAGAGCCAGCUGUUCCUCAAAGUCACCCAGACACAAGCCAAGCACUGAGCGCUCCCCCUGCCCGCUGUUCCCCUCCCCGAUGAUGGACUUAGAGACAGACUUUCCAACAGAAUCACUUGUUCAGAAGUUCCACUCCAAAGCGAGGAGUGAAGAGACCCAGAGAGGGUUCCUCUGGCUGGAAACGGGUGCGACGUCCCUGAUUACUUUAGAAUUCUUGAAAUGAAGGGCGACUCACUGUGACACCAGGUGAGUCUUUCUUGCUGUGUGCUUUCGUGGAGUAUUCAUUAACUUUCUUUGCAGGGUGGAAGGCGGUCUGGUUCUUUGGAGCGAAGCACAGCGGCAGCUCUGCCCAUCUCCAAAUUAAACCACAUCCUGUCCAGAGAAUGUUGACGAAGAUGUCUUUCAGUGCAGCUCUUCUGAGCUGAGCGUUGCUCUGUCUCGUUUCAUCAGAGAAGUACGGCGGCCUAAUGGAGAUGCCUACAGCCCUGACAGCAUCUUCUACGUCUGUCUGGGGAUACAACAGGGCCGCAUAGAGAACAUCUCCACUGACGAGAUGUAUUGUGACUUUGCUUCGGAAAUCACUGGGAUACUCCAAGUUUGGAAACCGAAGCAGCUACCUGGUGGUUGUGUUGUUUCCUCUUGUAUCGAGGAGUCCUACCUGUGGGAAUGUAAGCAGCUGGGAGCAUACUCUCCAAUUCUGCACCAAAAACUUCAAGCUGACCACCCUGGCGGAGCACCAGCGCCUGUCCUUUUCCCAUCUGGCUCGCUGCUCUAAACCUUGCAGUGGAAGUGGCAAAGUCCACUACCUCUAGUACCAGAGAAGCAAGGAAACCCUUCCCAACUCUGAAGAGGCAGGUUUGUUUUAAACUCUGUAAAAAUCACCAGCACCUACACCUUUUCUCAUGCUGUGGUUGUUUUGUGAAAGUUUAAGGGUGAUUCUACUGUUUCGAGAGAAAAAGGCCUGGAGAGAACAAUGGAGACCUAGAGAUGGAGAGAACAAUGGAGACCUAGAUCUGGAGUGGUAGCACUCCGACUUUGAGUGCUACCACUCCAGAUGCCCGGAGUCCGUGAAGAGAAGAGACCUGUUUUACCUCCAGCCUGAGCAGAAUGUCCACACUCAAAGCCCCCACUGGUUCACUGAUCAGUCAUUGGACAGCAGCUCACUACAGAGCAUGCUCACAUCAUUCUGGCCGUCAGAGAGGUCCAGCAGACACACCAGUCCACAGCCGACUCCGAGGGCGACGACUUGCUGCCACGCCGCCCUCUCCGCCGCAGGAUGCUCACUCUGAAACGCCAGGUAGCUCACAGAGAGGUCGGGCUGGACGCAUACAGCUGCCAGGUCGUGUGAAACAAACACAGACAGUUUUAACGGUGAGCACGACGACCACACACUGAGGGGGUUUGAUCUAGUGACUGCAGUGACUGUCCGCUGCUCUCCACAGCGCACAAGGAUUUCACAAACGUGGAAUUGCAUGAGACAGCUCCGCAGCAGCCGCCGCGCUUACCACGGAUAUAUCCACUGUCUGCUGAACAUCCACC